Molecule: ribosomal RNA, 787 nt
Filed under: uncultured organism
Description: SSU rRNA
Rfam family: Bacterial small subunit ribosomal RNA
Source: RNAcentral
CGCUAGCUACAGGCUUAACACAUGCAAGUCGAGGCCCUGCAUGGUCUUAGCUUGCUAAGGCCGAUGGCGACCGGCGCACGGGUGAGUAACACGUAUCCAACCUGCCGUCUACUCUUGGACAGCCUUCUGAAAGGAAGAUUAAUACAAGAUGGCAUCAUGAGUCCGCAUGUUCACAUGAUUAAAGGUAUUCCGGUAGACGAUGGGGAUGCGUUCCAUUAGAUAGUAGGCGGGGUAACGGCCCACCUAGUCUUCGAUGGAUAGGGGUUCUGAGAGGAAGGUCCCCCACAUUGGAACUGAGACACGGUCCAAACUCCUACGGGAGGCAGCAGUGAGGAAUAUUGGUCAAUGGGCGAGAGCCUGAACCAGCCAAGUAGCGUGAAGGAUGACUGCCCUAUGGGUUGUAAACUUCUUUUAUAAAGGAAUAAAGUCGGGUAUGGAUACCCGUUUGCAUGUACUUUAUGAAUAAGGAUCGGCUAACUCCGUGCCAGCAGCCGCGGUAAUACGGAGGAUCCGAGCGUUAUCCGGAUUUAUUGGGUUUAAAGGGAGCGUAGAUGGAUGUUUAAGUCAGUUGUGAAAGUUUGCGGCUCAACCGUAAAAUUGCAGUUGAUACUGGAUAUCUUGAGUGCAGUUGAGGCAGGCGGAAUUCGUGGUGUAGCGGUGAAAUGCUUAGAUAUCACGAAGAACUCCGAUUGCGAAGGCAGCCUGCUAAGCUGCAACUGACAUUGAGGCUCGAAAGUGUGGGUAUCAAACAGGAUUAGAUACCCUGGUAGUCCACACGGUAAACGAU